UAGGGAAUCUUCCACAAUGGACGCAAGUCUGAUGGAGCAACGCCGCGUGAGUGAAGAAGGUCUUCGGAUCGUAAAACGGGUCUGUUGUUAGAGAAGAACACGAGUGAGAGUAACUGUUCAUUCGAUGACGGUAUCUAACCAGCAAGUCACGGCUAACUACGUGCCAG
Molecule: ribosomal RNA, 167 nt
Filed under: uncultured bacterium
Lineage: Bacteria
Description: partial 16S rRNA
Rfam family: Bacterial small subunit ribosomal RNA
Source: RNAcentral